CUCUGGGACUUAGGCUGCUUCCUGGGAAGGGUUGCUGUGUAGUCUGAGAUCCCCUUCACUGGUGGGGAUCUUCUUGAAGCCUUUCCUCCCUCAGAAGAGGACCUCAGCAGUUUAACAUGAAUGUGUGUCUUGGAUGAUGGGAUGACUGUAUCUAUAACAACAAACAAUACUAAUUGAGGGAUGUACUGGUUCCACAGCUGAAGAAACCAAGUCCCUUAUCCUCUUCUCAGCACCAGAUAGUCCAGACUGCAAUGCCAUCCCAGUCACUAUCUGCCCACCCUUCUGUUUUUCAUAUUCUCUUCUAUAGAUUGAAGAGGAGGCAAAACUGGAUGCUGAAAAUAAAAUACAAAACCCCAUAAGCAACUGGCAACUGUA
Long non-coding RNA from Numida meleagris (helmeted guineafowl), 375 nucleotides. RefSeq lists it as uncharacterized. The record is from RefSeq and is a predicted model, not a curated record. NCBI's taxonomy places the organism in Eukaryota, Metazoa, Chordata, Aves, Galliformes, Numididae. The transcript is spliced from 5 exons.